AUUUAUUUAUUCCGUGAAACUUUGCAAAAACAUAAAUAACUGAAUUGACAAAACAACAAACCGUGACGCAGAGAGAAACAAAACACUACUCAAAAUAUAAUAACCCACAAAACCCAGGAAGAAAAACCCCCAACUUAAAUAUGAUCUCCAAUUAGAGACAACGAGGACCAGCUGCCUCCAAUUGAAGAUCAACCUAAAAAACAACAACAUAGAAAUAGAAAACUAGAACUAAACAUAGCUAUAGAAAACAUAGAACAAAACACCCCUGUCACGCCCUGACCUACUCCACCAUAGAAAAUAACAUCUUACUAUGGUCAGGACAUGACACUGUCUCUCUCUCUCUCUCUACCUCUGCCUCCCUCUCUCUCCAUCUCUCUCUCUACCUCUGCUUCCCUCUCUCUCUCUCUCUAUACCUCUGCUCCCCCCUCUCUCUCUCUCUGUCUCCCUCUCUUUUGCGAGAGAGAGAGAGAGAGAGAGAGAGAGAGAGAGAGAGAGGUGUAGAGGGAGGGAAGCAAGCAGAGGUGUAGAGAGAGAGAGGGAAGCAGAGGUGUAGAGAGAGAGAGAGAGGGAAGCAGAGGUAGAGAGAGAGAGAGAGAGGGAAGCAGAGGUAGAGAGAGAGAUGGAGAGAGAGGGAAGCAGAGGUGGGAGAGAGAGAGAGAGAGAGAGAGAGAGAGAGGGAAGCAGAGGUAGAGAGAGAGAGAGAGAGAGAGGGAAGCAGAGGUAGAGAGAGAGAUGGAGAGAGAGGGAGGCAGAGGUAGAGAGAGAGAGAGGGAAGCAGAGGUAGAGAGAGAGAUGGAGAGAGAGGGAAGCAGAGGUAGAGAGAGAGAGAGAGAGAGAGAGAGAGGGACGCAGAGGUAGAGAGAGAGAGAGAGAGAGAGGGAAGCAGAGGUAGAGAGAGAGAUGGAGAGAACAAUAGAGACAGAGAAAAAGACAGAGCAGCCAACCCCUCAGGACUAAAUACACCUCAGAAGAACGACCAAACAACUAAAAGGUACAGAAACAAAUUCACUUGAAUGUGGUCAGAGCGCCCCCAGGUGGCCGAGGAGGGUGUUAACUGUCUCAUUAAGUUUCAUAAGACGAUCAGUAGGCAAUCAUCACUCUGAAGACAAAUAAUACAGACAAUAUGAGAGGCACAGGCUGUAUCCCAAAUAACACAUCACAGGCUGUUUCCCAAAUAACACAUCACAGGCUGUAUCCCAAAUAACACAUCACAGGCUGUUUCCCAAAUAACACAUCACAGGCUGUUUCCCAAAUAACACAUCACAGGCUGUUUCCCAAAUAACACAUCACAGGCUGUUUCCCAAAUAACACAUCACAGGCUGUAUUCCAAAUAACACAUCACAGGCUGUAUCCCAAAUAACACAUCACAGGCUGUAUCCCAAAUAACACCCUAUCUUAUAUAUAGGACAUGACUACUGACCAUAUACCUAAAGAGAACCACAGUAUGAGGCAUAACACCCAUAAAACCUUGCGGUGAAACAGGAAAUAUACCUCUUACCCCCCC
This 1504-nucleotide long non-coding RNA is filed under the name Salmo salar (Atlantic salmon). RNAcentral's name for it is "lncRNA (ENSSSAG00000089606.1)". Lineage: Eukaryota; Metazoa; Chordata; Actinopteri; Salmoniformes; Salmonidae. The record is from RNAcentral.